This 76-nucleotide transfer RNA is filed under the name Methanobacteriota archaeon. RNAcentral's name for it is "Euryarchaeota archaeon tRNA-Ala". It matches the Rfam family "tRNA". Rfam says of the family: Transfer RNA (tRNA) molecules are approximately 80 nucleotides in length. Lineage: Archaea; Methanobacteriati; Methanobacteriota. The record is from RNAcentral.
GGGCGUUUAGCUCAGUUGGAAGAGCAUCUGGUUUGCAACCAGAAGGCCGGGGGUUCAAAUCCCCCAACGUCCACCA